GUUUUGGUAGCUAAUGAAAGUAGACGACUCUUAAUCGUUUGAUGUAAUGUUUUACCCAAAACU
RNAcentral lists this transfer RNA (63 nucleotides) under Semelidae sp. STW-2017. RNAcentral describes it as "tRNA-Lys". The record is from RNAcentral. Lineage: Eukaryota; Metazoa; Mollusca; Bivalvia; Cardiida; Semelidae.